UGAAGUUUAACCUGUGACGUAGAGGAGCUCGUUACCAUGGAGCCUGGCGACAGACGAAGGGGUUCCCCUCUAUGGCAGCACUUUGAGCUGAUCUCUCCCAGUAAGAUCCUUUGACAAGUCUUUUGCUGCCCCCAUGACUCGGGACCGAACAACGUCGGUGCAGCACUGGACCUGCAGCGUCAGUCUGAAGGCCUGAAACUCCUCCCACGCUGAUCACAGAUGUUUCUCAGCUGCUGCUGUGCACCUCCCAGCUUCAACUCCCUGCACUGGUUUUCUAUGACUGAGGUCUGGAGACUGAUCCACGACUCAUGUUCAGUGUUCUAGCUGAGAGAACAAGGUUCUUGUCUCAGGUUUCACACUGCAUGUUCCUGUCCACUGACCUCUCAGUGCGUGAUGCUGACCUGCACCCUAAACAGAACGACAGCCAAGAGCAUCAUGUUACCUCCUCCCUGCCUGACUGUGGGGACACUGCUCUGUGGGUCACAUCAGCAUUUCUCGAGUUGAUGUCAGAGAUCUUGAUU
This is a long non-coding RNA of Oreochromis aureus, 521 nucleotides long. Lineage: Eukaryota; Metazoa; Chordata; Actinopteri; Cichliformes; Cichlidae. The record is from Ensembl.